Humulus lupulus (European hop) is the source of this 4279-nucleotide long non-coding RNA. RefSeq lists it as uncharacterized. The record is from RefSeq and is a predicted model, not a curated record. Lineage: Eukaryota; Viridiplantae; Streptophyta; Magnoliopsida; Rosales; Cannabaceae. The transcript has 2 exons.
CAAAUAAAGAGAAAAAAAGUACGAACUCCAUCCCGCCAAUCCAAGCACAUACUUAACUCUUCUUUUUCUUUCUCCUAAUUGUAACAUCACCCAACUUCUACCCAUUUCAGCACUAAAUAAUAAGUGGGGUUUAAAAAAAAAAGGCAGUACACUAAAAAAUUUACAACUCACAAAUAAAAACUCACCAAUUAACUUUCCCAUUUCCCUCUUCAGUGCACCAUAGCCGACACAAACUCACCCAUUCAUUUUAUCAGUCAUUCACUAUCUCUCUCUAAACACAUUAUAUUAUCUUCUGUCUCUCUCUCUCACACAUGGUUGAGGGCCACUCUCUACUCUUACAUGGUCGGUGGCUAGUGUAGCAGCUCUUCGACAGCUGGUGCGAAGUGCGAUGAGUGCGGCGUGCAGCGGGCGGCUGGGCUAAGACAGUGCAAUAGCUUUUCGUUCAGUAACCUCUCUCUCUCUCUCUAUUUUUCUCUCUCUCCCGCUCUCUCUCUCUCGUGGGUGAUGGUGCCAUGGGUUGGGGUAAGCUUUUGGGUAUGUAAUUUUGUUUUAAUUAUUAUUGUAAACCUAUAUCUAUGUUUUUCUAUUGUAAAUUUACUAGCCCUAGUUUAGUUGGUAAGAUGUUUUUCAUUUAAGAAAAUGUAAUAUAAUAAAAUAGAAAGGGAAAGAAUUUUUGAAAACUUGUUAUGGGUUUGAUUUCUUUAAUAUCAGCCCUUGAGUUGCAUAUAUGAUUUGCUAUGCCUGGAUCACAUAACCUUAAGCCGAGGCUUAGACACAUGAAGGUAUGUAGUUUGGCAUCUCUCACCAUACUCUUUGGCUCGAGAAAUGUUAUUUUCCUCUUGAUUAUUUACUCAAUUUAUAUUGAAGUUGUUGACCUUCUUGUCAUUUGAUGGAUACAUGGCAUGCGUAGUUAUGGUUCUACUGCUGGAGAAUACAUUGUGGUGUUUGUCGUCGUGGUGGCCAUAGGGUUAUUGAUUUCUUUGUGUGUAUUCACUUUGCAUUUUGUUUUAUAAGAUGCAAAAUUAUUUAGUUUGUGCAAAUAUAUUUUAUGGAUUGGGGUCUUUGAUGCGCAUUGUUUGCUUUGUUUUGUUACAAUUUUACAUAUUUCAUUACUAGGCACCAAUAUUUAUAUUUAAUUCUUUACUGUUUUUAUUCUUUCCUCAUAAUAGUUGUUUCAUAAGGUGUUUAUAUAUUUAUGGGCACUUGUAUAAUCUUCUAAGUGUUUUGACACAGAGCAUUCAAUUAAAAAAUUGGGUCUUGAACAAUAAGUCAAUUAGCUGCUUAUGUGCUCAUCAAAUAUUAUGGAUAGUCAUGCUUCUCUAUUGGUAUAUAUGUAUGUAACUAAAUAUAUGCUAUGUAUUGUCUUUCUAGUCUCAUAUGUUCUUAAGGUAUGGUUUUGAGUUUUAUAAUCGCUUAUUAGCAUGAAAUAGGAAAACAUAGGCGUUAUACUUUUAUAUAUAUAUAUUUGAUUACUAAAAAAUGAUUAUUUUUUAGUAUUUUCGUUAAGUUAUCCAAUAUGCACAAGAGAGUAGUAGUCCUGCAGUUAGAAUUAGAUAAACGAAUCAUAAGAUGAGAUUAACAAAAUAUGAAUAAGUGGUCUUAAUUUAUAAGGACUGGCUAUGUGGCAUUUAUCGUGGUCUUUCUCCAACUAUUCUUGCAUUACUUCCUAAUUGGGUUGUGAGUCUUGUUGCUUGACUUCUUAAUUCUUUAGGAGGCCUUGAAUUUUGCUUAAAUCUGAAUUUGUGUUUGUUUCUUUUUAAUGAGCACUUGUUUGUUUCUUCGAAGAAAAUUGCUCUGUUUUCAUCUCAGGUAUGCUCAAAUGCAGAUGCUCAAAUGGUGGCCACCUCAUAUAUGUACCAUCAUGGCCAUGAGGACAAAUAAACACAAAUGUGAACAGGUGUGUAUGUGCGGAGACGGACUUCAAAGAAGGGGAUCUUAUAUUUUAGUGGCUAAAUUGAAUUUAAAAUUGGAAGGAAACUUUGUUUGCAAUAGCUUACAAGAGGAAUGUUCUCACUCUUGUUUUAAUACUAUGCAAAUGUUAGAGAAGUUUGAAUAUCUUAAAUAUUUAUCCAUAGUGAAGUAGAUUCUUAGAUUGUUAUUGUGUGCUGCGGUGAUAACCAAAGGUUGAGAACUUGUGUCUUAGUGAAAAAGGAUAUGAGAAAUUUAUGUGCUGCGGCGAGAUAAAGAAGAAAACUUGUGUGCUCUUUGUAUUGAUAUUUGGAAAUGGUUCAUUGCUAGUAUAGGCAAAUGAUUCUUAAUAAAUAUAUAUCAUGUCAUCUUUCCUUGUCUUUGUCCCCAUAAUUAUGAACUUAAAAAAGGUAUAAAACACAAAAAGGAAAAAAAACUAGUAUAUAUAUUUUUAUAUAUAUAUAUAUAUAUAAUCACAGGUUUCUUGAGCUAAUAUAUGGCGUUUCAUAUUAAUAAUAAUACAAAUUAAUACAUAUAUGGGGUUUCUAGGUUGUAUUUCAACCAAAACCAAUAAUGUAAAUAUAUAAAUUUUAAUAUCAAUAAAUUUAUUCAUGCCCAUAUACUUUUCCUAUUACUCAAUUGAUUUGUGUUAUUAUGUUGUAAAAUAUACAUCUCUAUAUUUUAUAUGCUGGUUUUUUUUUUUUUUAGCAUUGAAAUAUUUAUAUAAGAUAAUUGAAUACCAGUAUUAAUUGAUUAAUUGUCAGAGAUGUAGUUGUCAAGCACUACAAAGUGAACCAAACUUUAAAGUCUUCAUGAACCAGCAUAAUAUAUAUGUUGUAAAACCAAACUUUUAUGUUAUGUGUAUGUAUAUGAUUAUUUUCUUUAAUUGACCAAACAUAUAUAUGUUAAAAGCACACUCGCGGUUUAUACAAGUUUUUGAGUCAUUUACGAUUUUUAAUUUUGAUAUAUAUAUAUAUAUAUAUAUAGAAUGAAUUUUACUUUUACUUUGAUAAAAGGUGUAUAUAUUCAGUCUGAGAAUGAUUUGAUUGUGUGAUUAUGUAGAGAAUGAGCAGGGAAGGAAAGGUAUAUAUAUUCAGUCUGGAGCUUCAGGUUACAUAGCUUCAUGGUUAGUGAAGCUCUUAUUACAACGUGGUUACCCUUUGAAAGCAUCUCUUCGUGACCUAAGUUAGUUCCUAUUAUUAUCUUUGGCUUUUAAACUCAUUUUAUAUUCUAUCUUCGUAAAUCUACACAAACAUGUAGUUUCAAUUUUUUGGUUUUUCAACUUUACAUUCGUAAAUUUCAUUUUGCAUGCAAUAUGUACAAUUUGUAACUCCUUAUACAUGCAGAUGUUUCAAAGAAAACACAACACUUAUAAUUCUAGAAUUAUAAGUGCUUUAUACAAGUCUUGGAACUUGUAUUAGUCAGUUAUCUGAUUAGAUGUUGGUGAGAGUCUUGGAGGCUGAAUAAAGUUUUGUUUAUUUUUUAUCUAGGCUGUUUGGGCUAUUCUUUUUUUACAAUUGGUCUAUUUGAUAGUUGUUUGCCUUUUGAAUUUGUUAUGCUAUUUCAAGGAAUCUUUAUUACUUUCACUUUUGACAUUUUACUUUGGUUUUCUUGUUUGAGGAUGUUAUUUUGAACUCUUCCAAUUUUAAUCAGAUUUGGUCUCCAUUCUUCUGGGGUCUUUUCUCUCUAGUCUUUCUUUUAUUCUUUGAUCAAUAACUGUAAUUCACAGAUUUUCCCCCUUUCUAAUUUAAUUUAGAAAACUCGCGCCUAUACAAGCUCAUGUAUUCUCUUACCUAUUCUCUCUUGGAAAGCUCAAUACGCAUAAUGUUUGUCGAAGAAAGUCCUUUUUCUUUUUGGUGUGUGUUUUACCUUUUAACUUUAUUAAAGUUAUAUUUAAUUACAUAUAUAUUUGACAUCUAAACUUAGUGUUUAGUGUAUAUGUGAGUAAACUUAUUUAUUUACACUACAAUGAAACUCUACUUAUAAUUUUUCAUGUUUGGUAUAUUAUUAUGUGAUUUUUCAUGUUUCAGUGAUGAUUUUAGAAAGAAAUUCAUGGCAGACAAUUUUUACUGUGGAAAGCCUAUUGGGGACGAUAAAGAGUACAAGGACAAGAAGAAGAAAAAUAUGUUAUUUGAUAAUGCAUUUAGAGUUUUAUUUUAUUUGUAAUUUUUAUUAGAGUAAAUGAUUCUUUUUUAAGUGGUUAAUUAUUUACUUUGUAAAUCUAGUUAUAUGUUUUUUAAGGUUAAGAUGAUUAGGUUUAUAGACAAGGCUAUACGAUUUUUGAGUCAAGUAGUAGUGUUAUAUUUGUUCCAAAAUUUGUUUUAUUAGAUUUGUAAAUAUUUUAUAUAAGUUUUGUUAUUUUAAUCUAUAA